UCGCUACCUCUACCCUGGAGGGGUUGACAUUAAGUAAGCUCAUUAAUUUUAUCAUAUCAUCUCGGAUUUUCUUCUUUUUCUGAUAACCUGGUUACAAAUUAAAACCUGGUUACAAAUAAAAAAACCUGGUUACAUGAUAAUGAAAAUUAAAUAAAGAUUACCUACAAAACAUGAAUAGGAUCUUGGAUCUUCAAUAACGUGAUUAGUUGAUCUAAUCUACCUGUGUAUCAUCUGGGAUAUAUUCUGAGUGGUUAAAUUUUUAUGUGCAGGUAUGUAGCAGUAGGGAAUGAACCAUUUCUGGCAGCAUACGAUGGGAUGAAUUUGAACACUACAUUUCCCGCUCUAUGCAAUAUACGGAAAUCAUUGAUCGACGCCGGAAUCGGAGACAUAGUAAAAGUCACUGUUCCAUUCAAUGCUGAUGUGUACGGAUCACCAAUAGAAAAUCCUGUACCAUCUGCCGGAAGAUUCCAGCCGGAAAUAGCCGAUCUGAUGACAGAUAUCUCACGAUAUCUGUACAAACACAACUCACCAUUUUUAGUUAACAUCUAUCCGUUUUUGAGUCUCUAUUACAACAGAGAAUUCCCCGUCGAUUUUGCAUUCUUUGAUGGCACAGAAAAUCCAGUCUUCGAUGCCAAAACUAAGAUUAACUACACCAAUGUUCUCGAUGCCAAUUUCGACACUUUGAUAUCAGCUCUGAAACGGAUUGGGUUGGGGAAAAUGGAUGUUAUGAUCGGUGAAAUUGGGUGGCCAACAGAUGGAGAUAUCAAUGCCAAUGUGUUGCUUGCUAAAAGAUUCUACCAAGGUCUGUUCAAACAACUUGCCGUCGACCAAGGCACACCUCUCCGACCGAACAAGUAUAUAGAGACCUAUUUAUUCGGCUUAAUAGAUGAAAAUAAAAAGAGUAUAGCACCUGGAAACUUCGAACGACAUUGGGGGAUAUUCACUUAUGAUGGGCAGCCAAAGUUUCAAAUGGAUAUAUCCGGUGAAGGUCUGAACACGACUCUAAUCGGAGCCAAGGAAGUCAAAUACUUGCGUAACAUGUGGUGUGUGUUGAAUCCUAAAGUUAAAUAUCAAAUUGAAAAUCAGGGAGUCAAUAAAUUAGGAGACAACAUUAAAUACGCAUGUCAGACCUCCGACUGCACUGCACUUGGUUAUGGCUCGAGUUGUCACGGUAUCGAUGUGGAAGGGAAUGCUUCUUAUGCUUUCAAUAUGUAUUUUCAAGUGCACAAUCAAGCAGAGAAGAGUUG
RNAcentral lists this long non-coding RNA (1247 nucleotides) under Zostera marina. RNAcentral's name for it is "long non-coding RNA (ZMAR_LNC002732)". Lineage: Eukaryota; Viridiplantae; Streptophyta; Magnoliopsida; Alismatales; Zosteraceae. The record is from RNAcentral.